AUGGCCGGUGUCGAGUGCGGCGGUGGGGACUGGCCCUUCUCCGCCGAGGAAGCGUACGCCGAUUCCUCUGCGCUGUUGGCGGAGAUCGGCUGGGCGGCCGGUUUUGUCGACGACGGCUGCGCCGGGGAGCUGCUUCCGCCGCUGGAUCCGCCUCCGGCCACACCAACGGGGUCCAUGGAAGGGGCCGGCGCCUCGUCGAGCUCCACCGAUGACGGUGCCACGCGGGAGGCUGCAGACGCCGACGGCAGGCCGGCCGCCGCGACAGAGGCAGCGAGCAAGCCGGCGCCGGCGCUGGCCCCGGGGAAGACGAUGAAAAAGCAGAAGCGGGCGCGGCAGCCACGGUUCGCGUUCAUGACCAAGACGGAGAUAGACCACCUCGAGGACGGAUACCGCUGGAGGAAGUACGGACAGAAGGCCGUCAAGAACAGUCCUUUCCCAAGGAGCUACUACCGGUGCACCAACAACAAGUGCACGGUGAAGAAGCGCGUGGAGCGCUGCUCCGACGACCCCUCCGUUGUCAUCACCACCUACGAGGGCCAGCACUGUCACCACACCGUCACCUUCCCCCGCGGCGCCGGCGCCGCCACCCUCGCCAGCCAGAUGGCCUUCUCGGCACACCACCACCACCUCAUGUACAACGACUUGCCGGCGCUGCACUCGCCGACCACUCAAAACCCACUCUUCAGCGUGCCGGCGAUGUCGUCGUCGCUGCUCCAGCCGCUACACUGCAACCGACAGGAGCUGCAACUUGCAAGCUACACAACCCAGGCAUCGUCCAUCUCGUCGCCAGGGAGUGUUCCCGCCGUCGAUAAGGGGCUUCUGGAUGACAUGGUGCCUCCAGCGAUGAGGCACGGAUAG
This 858-nucleotide ribosomal RNA is filed under the name Triticum aestivum (bread wheat). RNAcentral's name for it is "partial small subunit ribosomal RNA". The record is from RNAcentral. Lineage: Eukaryota; Viridiplantae; Streptophyta; Magnoliopsida; Poales; Poaceae.